GACGAACGCUGGCGGCGUGCUUAACACAUGCCAGUCGAACGGAAAGGCCCUGCUUUUGUGGGGUGCUCGAGUGGCGAACGGGUGAGUAACACGUGAGUAACCUGCCCUUGACUUUGGGAUAACUUCAGGAAACUGGGGCUAAUACCGGAUAGGAGCUCCUGCUGCAUGGUGGGGGUUGGAAAGUUUCGGCGGUUGGGGAUGGACUCGCGGCUUAUCAGCUUGUUGGUGGGGUAGUGGCUUACCAAGGCUUUGACGGGUAGCCGGCCUGGGAGGAUGACCGGCAACAUGGGGACUGAGAUACGGCCCGGACUCCUACGGGAGGCAACAGUGGGGAAUAUUGCACAAUGGGCGGAAGCCUGAUGCAGCAACGCCGCGUGCGGGAUGACGGCCUUCGGGUUGUAAACCGCUUUCGCCUGUGACGAAGCGUGAGUGACGGUAAUGGGUAAAGAAGCACCGGCUAACUACGUG
Molecule: ribosomal RNA, 468 nt
Filed under: uncultured bacterium
Lineage: Bacteria
Description: partial 16S ribosomal RNA
Rfam family: Bacterial small subunit ribosomal RNA
Source: RNAcentral